AUCUUUGCGCAGUGGCAAUACCGUAACCAAUGAAGUCCUCCUGAGGUGCGGUUAUUGCUAGUUGAAAACUUUAACCAAUACCCCGCCAUGGGGACGUGAAAUACCGUCCACUACGGCAAUUUUUGGAAGCCCGAGAGGGCUAA
This is a small nuclear RNA of Drosophila melanogaster (fruit fly), 143 nucleotides long. NCBI's taxonomy places the organism in Eukaryota, Metazoa, Arthropoda, Insecta, Diptera, Drosophilidae. The record is from Ensembl.